GUAGCAUAAUCAUUUGUCUUUUAAUUAAAGACUUGAAUGAACGGUAGAACGAGAAAUAAGCUGUCUCUUUAAAAAAAAAUAAAAUUUUACUUUUAAGUGAAAAGGCUUAAAUAAAUUAAAAAGACGAUAAGACCCUAUAAAUCUUUAUAUUAAUAAUUUUUAUUUUUAAAUUAUAAAUAAAAAUAAAAUAAAAAUUAUAAUAUUUUAUUGGGGAGAUAUAAAUAUAAUUUUUAACUAUUUUAAUAUUAUAACAAUAAUAUUUGAUUUAUUAUUAUGAUCCUUCUUAAAGAAUAAAAAAUCAAGUUACUUUAGGGAUAACAGCGUUAUCUUUUUUAAGAGUUCUUAUCGAAAAAAAAGUUUGCGACCUCGAUGUUGAAUUAAAAAAUCCAUAUA
RNAcentral lists this ribosomal RNA (393 nucleotides) under Kiwa sp. AAR. RNAcentral's name for it is "partial 16S ribosomal RNA". Lineage: Eukaryota; Metazoa; Arthropoda; Malacostraca; Decapoda; Kiwaidae. The record is from RNAcentral.